Long non-coding RNA from Orcinus orca (killer whale), 316 nucleotides. RefSeq lists it as uncharacterized. Lineage: Eukaryota; Metazoa; Chordata; Mammalia; Artiodactyla; Delphinidae. The record is from RefSeq and is a predicted model, not a curated record. The transcript is spliced from 3 exons.
GAAUUGUAGGGGACACAAACCUGCAGUCCACUGUGGUGGGUGCAUAAAUAACAUGGCUCCCUCAAAUCACAGGGAAGACUUCUGAGGAAGGAGAGGACAAGGCCACAAGGGGUCAGCCUGUUGAAGACGGUUAUUACAUUACCAUCAAAUCAACCAAGAGCAUACGUGCUGUAUAAGUUUCUUAGGGCAGCCACAGCAAAGCACCACAGACUGCGAGCUUAAGCCACAGAGAUUUACUCUCCCUGACAGUCUGGAGGCCAGAAGUCCAAGAUGAAGGUCACAUGCGGAGGUGCUGGGGGUGAGGACUUCAGGAGGG